GGUUUUGGAAAAUGAUUCAGUUCUCUAGAGGAGUAAGAGACACUGUAGUGAAAAUGAGGCUGCUUCCUCUGAUUGGAAUGCCCUUCUCCUAUCUCCUUGGAAGAAUCUUCUUCCUCCAUUGUGAUGGGGAGCAGCUAGCUGAUGCUCUGUUAGGGACUCCAAGGCCACCCUGGAUGGAUCAGGACAGCAGAGAAAGUGAUCCCAUUACUGAAUGAUAAUCAGACCAAUCCCCCCGCCCCAUCCUAUCUGUGUGGAGGACAGAAGCACAAAUGGAAGUUGCCUGUCACAAGCUCACCAGCCACAGGUGAUGCCCACAUGAGGCCCCACCAGUUCUAGUCUUUAACCCUGAAUGCUGAUGAGCGUUAGGAUUACAGCAGCAGCAGCAGAGGCAACAGGUUUGCACAGACUUUCAGAGGUAAAGGGCAAGAGGAAAUCGUAUGAAGACCAAUAUAAAAUCCUGGCCUGAUUCUCUUACCUGGAAUCACAAUAUCUGGGAAGGAAGGGCCAGGCCUUGGGGCUAUGAUUGUGGUAACUUCUCUGCCUGAUCCCCUUGGUCAUGCAGGAGGUGCAAAUUUGGACCCAACUCCAUGCAAAGUGUGAAUUGACUUUAAGUUGGAUUGAGUUUCACCCUUGUGGGAGGCUGGGAUUUUUUUGUUUUCUUGUGGUUUUUUUGCUCACCUUUCCACUGAAGAUCCAGGAUUUUGAAGCUCUCAGUUUGUUUAGGAAUCUCAGUUCCAAU
Molecule: non-coding RNA, 739 nt
Organism: Heterocephalus glaber (naked mole-rat)
Lineage: Eukaryota; Metazoa; Chordata; Mammalia; Rodentia; Bathyergidae
Source: RefSeq, a predicted model, not a curated record